RNAcentral lists this ribosomal RNA (660 nucleotides) under uncultured organism. RNAcentral's name for it is "bacterial SSU rRNA". It matches the Rfam family "Bacterial small subunit ribosomal RNA", at positions 1 to 663 of the family's 1533-position model. The record is from RNAcentral.
GGCUUAGAGUUUGAUCAUGGCUCAGGAUGAACGCUGGCGACGUGCCUAACACAUGCAAGUCGAGCGAAGCUGUUUCAAGGAAGUUUUCGGAUGGAAUUGAGAUAGACUGAGCGGCGGACGGGUGAGUAACGCGUGGGUAACCUGCCUCAUACAGGGGGAUAACAGUUAGAAAUGACUGCUAAUACCGCAUAAGCGCACAGGACCGCAUGGUCGAGUGUGAAAAACUCCGGUGGUAUGAGAUGGACCCGCGUCUGAUUAGCUAGUUGGUGGGGUAACGGCCUACCAAGGCGACGAUCAGUAGCCGACCUGAGAGGGUGACCGGCCACAUUGGGACUGAGACACGGCCCAAACUCCUACGGGAGGCAGCAGUGGGGAAUAUUGCACAAUGGGGGAAACCCUGAUGCAGCGACGCCGCGUGAGUGAAGAAGUAUUUCGGUAUGUAAAGCUCUAUCAGCAGGGAAGAAAAUGACGGUACCUGACUAAGAAGCCCCGGCUAACUACGUGCCAGCAGCCGCGGUAAUACGUAGGGGGCAAGCGUUAUCCGGAUUUACUGGGUGUAAAGGGAGCGUAGACGGCAUGGCAAGUCUGGAGUGAAAACCCAGGGCUCAACCUUGGGAUUGCUUUGGAAACUGUCAAGCUAGAGUGCCGGAGAGGUAAGCG